This is a long non-coding RNA of Nanorana parkeri, 92 nucleotides long. RefSeq lists it as uncharacterized. The record is from RefSeq and is a predicted model, not a curated record. The transcript has 3 exons. NCBI's taxonomy places the organism in Eukaryota, Metazoa, Chordata, Amphibia, Anura, Dicroglossidae.
CCUACUCUGGACCAAUCAGUGAUAGAAGAAUAUAAUAUAGGUCACCUGUGCUGAUCUCUGUAGGAGUGUCCUCCUCUUUGAUUGUCCUCAUC